Molecule: long non-coding RNA, 367 nt
Organism: Toxotes jaculatrix (banded archerfish)
Lineage: Eukaryota; Metazoa; Chordata; Actinopteri; Toxotidae
Exons: 4
Source: RefSeq, a predicted model, not a curated record
AGGAGUUGAUGCUUAGGAUCCUUAGAUAGCAGUUUGAGUUGCACCUGUUGCCCAUGUGCUAAUCAAACCCAUGUGACCGGGGAGGAGAGGACUCAGGUGCAGCUUAUAAGGCUUUGGGGUAGCCUUUGCUCCUGUUUGCUGGUGGAAUACAGUAGUGUUUUGUCCAAGCUCUGUUUUUGUGUGGAGGAGUUGAUGCUUAGGAUCCUUAGAUAGCAGUUUGAGUUGCACCUGUUGCCCAUGUGCUAAUCAAACCCAUGUGACCGGGGAGGAGAGGACUCAGGUGCAGCUUAUAAGGCUUUGGGGUAGCCUUUGCUCCUGUUUGCUGGUGGAAUACAGUAGUGUUUUGUCCAAGCUCUGUUUUUGGUAA